This 101-nucleotide ribosomal RNA is filed under the name Pteropus alecto (black flying fox). The record is from RNAcentral. Lineage: Eukaryota; Metazoa; Chordata; Mammalia; Chiroptera; Pteropodidae.
GCCUAUAGCCAUGCCACCCUGAAUACGCCCAAGCUAAGCAAGGUCAGGCCUGGUUAGUACUUGGAUGGGAGACCACCUAGGAAUACCAGGUGCUAUAGGCU